This 19079-nucleotide long non-coding RNA is filed under the name Vitis vinifera (wine grape). RNAcentral describes it as "long non-coding RNA (VVIN_LNC001432)". Lineage: Eukaryota; Viridiplantae; Streptophyta; Magnoliopsida; Vitales; Vitaceae. The record is from RNAcentral.
CCUGUGCCCAACUGAAGCAAUUGACCAGAGAAUGCAAUGGCAAAAACGGGGCUCUUGAUGAAGUGCGAUUUGAACCGUGUGCAUCUAAAAGCCGUAGACGUGAUGGAAGCUCUGGAAUUUGUUCAAGAUUGUUGCAGUGACUAAGGUUAAGGACUUCCAGCCUGGAAAGCUGAUUGAUGGUAGUAGGUAUGCUACUAAAAUGACCCCGUUCCAGAUUUAGUUUCUGUAAUGAUGAUAAAUGGCAAAUAUCACUAGAAAUUCCUCCUUCCAUUAUGUUGAAGUGACCUAGGUCCAAUACUUUCAAUGAUGAUAAGUGGCAAAUAUGAUUAGGGAUUUGGUGGAGCUUUAAACACUCUUGAAGUAGGAGAGUUUGAAGACCAUUUAGAUGUGUAAUUGAUGAUGGUAAGUCCAUUAUAGCUGUUCCACUCAAAUCAAGCACCCUUAGCUCUCUCAUAUCGCCUUUGAUUUCUGGAAAUCUCUCUAGCUUUGAACAGCCAUUGCAAGACAAAGUUUGAAGGUGUUUCCACUUGUAAAUGCCUCUUGGAAGAAGCUCCAGGUUUACACAUCCUGCAAGAUUCAAGGGAAAAAGAAAUAAAAAAAAAAAAGAACAAGUUAGUUUUAGUAAUUAUAAUACUGCUGCACCAAUCUUUUAAGUGCAUUGUACACCCUUCUAGAGUUAGAAUCUCCAAGUUUGGGACACUUGAGAAGUCUGGGAUUCUGAUGAGAUGGACAGAGUAACUGAGAUCAAUAACCCUCAACUUGUCAUGAAGCUGUAACAAAAUAAUUUUUUUCAAUAGAUAAAUUUAUAUAAAUGUUAAAAAUUAAUAUAAACUUAAACUGUAACUAAAUAAUAAUAACAAUACCUUAUUCCCUCUCCAAAGUUGCUUUAUAUUGCUGUUCCUUAGUAAGAGUUCAACAAGGUUCUUUGCAUGAAAAUUCAUUGGCAAAGAUUCUAAAGGGUAUCCAUCCCAAUGCAGAUAUGUUAACUCAUAAGAAGAGAAUUCAAAGUCCCUUGGAAGGUGGUCUUCAAGAAAUAACUUUCUGCGAGGGUUAUGGAUUUUGAGCAAUCUAAGUCUAUUCAUCUCUUUGAAAGAUUCUGUAGUAAGCUGUGAUGGAUUAAAUUUACAUCUAUCUAGGAAUAGUCCUUCAAUUGCUCUUGUCCCCUGAAAAAUAUAAGACGAGUAGGCAAAACAAAAGAUGCAUUAGACUUAAUUGAGUUAUACACACGGCUAAUUUCUGAAAAAAAAUAAUAAUAAUCAUAUUGAAGCUUGCAUACACACGUAUAUAAACAAGUUCAUGCAUUUGACUCUUACCGUAUUUCUUAUUAGCACAUGAUAGGCAUUCAAAUCCCACAAUCUACUCCUUCUUCCAGGGUCUUUAGGACAUUCUUGACGAAUAAUCUCUCAACCCAUUUGUUGUAUUAAAUCAUGCAUAUCUAGCCUGUUUUUUGAAACAGAUAUGAGACAUCUAUCAUCUAGAGUUGUUAUUGCGUGCUCUACAUGAGGGCCCAAUAUUCUUGAAACAAAAUCUUUGUUAUCUCCUUUGAAAAAGCAUGCAACAUCCAAAAACACCCCCUUGUCUAUAUCAUCGAGUCCAUCAAAACUUAUUCUAAGUACAUUGUGAAUUUCCAUGUGGGAUAUUAUUUUUAGCUUACACAGUGCACUUUCCCAAUUACUUAUUUUCUUUCCAAAAAGAGAAGCACCUAAAACUUUAAGUGCUAACGGAAGGCCAUUAGCAUAAUCUAUAAUAUUGUAUGAGAGGUUUUUAUAAACUUCUUUGGGACGAUUUUGUUUAAAGGCCCACAAACUAAAGAGCUCAAUAGCUUCUUCCUUGUUUAAUUUUGAAACCUCAUAUGGUAUAUCCACCCCAUAUUGAGCAAGCACGUGUUUGUCUCUAGAUGUAAUGAUGAUUGUACUUUUUACCUGAAACCAAUCCUUCUCUUCAGCCAAACAUUCUAGUUGUUUCAACUCAUCCACAUCAUCAAAAAUAACAAGAACUCUAUUGGAGCUUAGACACCUCUUUAUCAUACUAAUUCCUUCGUCAACAUUGUUUAUUUUAAAUUUUUUUCCCCGUAGCAUACCAUGAAGAAGUUCCUGCUGUAAUUGAAGUAUAUCGCAUUUGGAUCUCUCUCUGAUAUUUAUAAGAAAGCUACUACCAUCAUAUUGAUGUGAGAUCUCAUUAUAAAUAGCCUUGGCGAUAGUAGUCUUGCCAACCCCACCAAUUCCAUAUAUCCCUACGACGCUAACCAUAUUUAACUCAGUGUUCAUCAACGAUUUCAAUUUUUCCAAAUGAACACCAAUUCCAACUAUGUUGUUUCCCACACUUAAAGGUUGAUGGUUUACUCUUCUAAUGAUUGUAUCAACAAUUUUGUUGACAACCACAAUCUCAUACCUGCCAAUCAUAUAAAUGAAGUACAAUGUUGAGUUAGAAUGAGUUGCAAAAUAUAAUGAAUUUAGUCGUGUAUGGUGGUGUCCAAUAUUAUUGAAUUAGUAGCAAUGGAAUGAAAAAGAAAGGGGUCAAACCAAUUUACUUACAUAUUUAAUACUCUUACUGUGCCAAGUUGCAAAUUUUCAAUACUCUUACCGUUAGAGCAUUGUGUAGGACUCCUCUAUGAACAAGCUAAUGCCUUCUUUCAACUUUUAUUUCACAAACAACUUGUUUAUGAUUCCUCAAUUUCACUUGUCUUUAGGUUUUAUUAACUUACCAAUACUUACCAAAGUUACAAAGACUCCAUUUUUAGCAUGCCAAUUAAUUUUGCAUUUCCAUAGAGGAAUCAGGAAACAAGUGAAUGUGGAAAAUUUCAUGAUUUGCUUGUUGAUUGGGAACUUAAAUAUGAUUUUAUUUAGAGAAAAUUUAAAAAGGGUUAAAUUUUGAUACUUGUAUUUUUGGACCAACACAAGGGAAAAAUGAAAGUUAGAUUUUGUUAACAAUUUCAUAUUCAUGAGACCUUCAUUAUGAGAAUAAACUUACAAGUAAAAUCAUUCUAAAAGAGCACGAUAGGAAUGUUAAAGGGCAGAGUUUAAGGUAAAUUAAUCCAAAUGAACUCGAAAGGUCAAAGGGACAAAAUAGUUACCCCCUUUGACAUAAUAAAAAUCCAUCAUGAAGAUUACAAAACAAGCUUGGCAUCGAUAUUGUUGCAGUGAGUGAGCACUUAAUUAGUGCAUGGGAAUUAAGACUUGUUGAAGAAUAUAUACGCAAAAAACAAGCAAAAAUGUAAAUUGAAACUCAGGAAACAGAGGGAGAUGCAUGAGAAUCUUUGUAGUAAGUGAGAAUGGAAUUCAUAGGCAUUAUGCAAUUACCAGUGCCUCAUAGCAAAAUAAGAUAUUGAUUAAAAGGGUUUUAAAAACUAAUAUUUGAUUGCACAUAAAAUUUCAAUGUAUUGAAAAUUGCACAUAAAAUCUCUAAAGAAAUAUUCGAUUUAAAGAAAUAUCAAAUAACUUCAAUGCAUUUAAAAUUACAUAUAUAAUCUCCUUUUGAUAUUUUUCUACUCUUGAAGUACUUUUUAUCCAAAAAGUAUUUUAUCGAUUUGAGAUGGAGAUUGAAUAAUUGUUGACAGGCAUUUUUAUCCCUAAAGAAGUCAUAUUUAAUAUUUUUACAAAAUGAAAAUCGUUCUUCCAAAUUUGCAUUUUCAAUAUCCCAUUUAAACAGAUAAACGAGAGGUGAAGAGAAGCAUACUUACUGGUCAUCCACAUGGCAUCCACAUAGAUUAGCUGCUUUUCUCAAGGCAAUCCUCCACUUUUGUAUCAUCUCCUUUUCUUGAUUUGCAUCUCUUUCAUGGUAGGCAAGUGCGUCUCCGAAGCUUCCCCUUUGGUUUCGUACAUCAGAUGAAUCCACAUGGUAGAAAAUUGGUAGAACCAAUGAUUCCUUUUGGCUUUUGCGUUCAAUGAUCUUUACGAGUUCAUUUAAACACCAUCUGGAGUAAGCAUAAUUUUUUGAGAAAAUAAUAAUAAAAAUCCUCGAUUCUUCUAUAGCUCUGAAGAGAUCAGAUGCAAUAUCUCCUCCUUUCUCAAGUUCUUCAUCAUCUCUGAAAGUUUGAAUUCCAUAUGCAGUCAAAAUGGUAUACAGAUGAUCAGUGAAAUUUUUGCGAGUGUCACCACCUUUAAAACUCAAGAACACAUCAUAAUUACGAGAAAUAGUAGAAGAAGAAGAGGCUCUAUGGGUGCUGGAAGAAGCCAUUUUUGGAUGCCUUGAACCAAAAUUACAAGGGAGUUUGGAAUCAAAGAAAAAUAAGAGAGAGGGUCCCUGGAUUCUCAAUGACUAUUGGCUCCAGACCUCUUCACCAUGAACAAAAAUCUAAGCUGGGAGGGAGGUUCAGCUGAAAAGUUUCAUCUGCAGUCAUAAAAGAAAAAAAUAACAUAUAUAAAGCCUCUUUGACAAAUUUCUUUGUAUAUAAAUUCUAAGAGAAACUCACACAUAUAUUUUACCUUUUGGGAGUUCGCUUUGUGUUGGAGACUGCAGUUAAGGGGUGCAGAGAUGAUGGUGGGGAAGAUGGUUUGGGGGAUAGGCCGGGGUUGAAGAAGAGGCUGUGGAUAUUUUGAAGUGAGGUAAGGAAUUCUAAUAUUUUGAAGUGAAUUUCAUGAAAGGUAUUGUUUUUAGUUUUUGUUUCCAUAAUCUUUCUGGUAGGAAAUCCACGUCAAAGUAGGCUACUAACUAAAAGUUAAUAGAGCUCUAUCACCUUUCACAUUAAAAAAUAGUUGGAUAGGCAAACCUUCCGUCCUCACCUAAUGUAAUAUUUCAUUGUUUUAUUUUAUUUUAUUUAUCUCUCUUGUUCCAAUAUUUGCACAACUUCAUCCCUCUUUAGUUUAAUUCCUUUUCUUUGUAAUAUUUAUUUUGAUUUUUUACAACUUGCAUUUAUCCUUCUUUUCAAUAAUUUUCUCCUCAACUUUUAAAAUUAUUAUUUGGUUUUUCUCUUAAGAGUUAACACUACUGCCAUAUAUUGUUUUUCCUUCUUUUGCCAUUAGAGAAAAUAUUUUUGUUUCUUGUUUUCCUUUCUUUUCCAACCAUUUAAUUCUUAUUAAACACACCUUUGAGUCACUUCAAGGCAACUACAAUUCAAGUAAAUAUUUUUAUUUUUUGUUUUUAUAAUAUGUGUGUGGCCUAGAGAUGAUAGGUAUGAUAACGAGAAAUCUUGAGUUAAAACUAAACAAUGCUUCUUUUUUUUUCUUAAUUGAUUAUUUACUUCAUCUUUCAUUUUCAUGUUUUACUUCAAAUAUAUUUUACACUUUAGUUUGGUGUUUCUCUUGGACUUUGAUUAUGGAGUCAUUUCUUAUAAUUAUUGGUAGGAAAUUUCCUAUGGCCUUCCAAGAAAUUAAAAUUUUGCUACAAAAAUUUAUAUGAAAGUAGGCUAUUUACAAAAGGUCAAUAGACCUUGAUGUCCUUUCACAUUGAAAGAUAGUGAGAUUCACAUCCAAAAAGGCAACCAUUGCAUGCAAUGUUUCAUUUUCUCUUUUUUUCCCCUUGGGCAUUAUAUAUAUACACGGAAAAAGCAAUGUAAACUUUACGUGGAAAAGGAAAAUGUCGCCUCCUAAUUAACUUGAUUACUUAUUAUGGUCAUGUGAUAUUUCAUCUUUUUAUUUAUCUCUCUUGUUCCAAUAUUUGUACAACUUCAUCCUUCUUUAGUUUAGUUCCUUUUCUUUGUAAUAUGUAUUUUGAUAUUUUUACAACUUGAAUUUAUAGAAUGUCUUUUUUCAAAUUUUUUUGUUUUAAUUUUUAUGAAAAAUAUUGGUUUUUACUACAUAUGAUAAAUCCGUUUUGUGGAUAUAUUGAGAUAUGUAAAAAAAUAUUGGUGGAUAUUUUAAAACAAAAUAUGGAUGAGAUAAAAAUUGUUCAAAAUUCAUGGAAAUAUUUAGAACAAUUAUAAGAAAUGGAUAUAAAAAGUAAUAAUAAAUAUUUUUAUGUUGUUUUGUUAAAGAAAUUGAUAUAUGUAUGAUAUAAUUUAUAACAUUCAAUAAUAAUAUUUAGAAUUUUAAAGUAAAUUUUAUAUAAAUGUAUCUAAUUUGUAUGUAUUUAAUGACAUAAAAGAAAUGAUAAAAAUAUUAGUAUUUUUUAUUUUAAAAUAUUGAUAAUUUUAUUUGUAAAUAUAAAAAACCAUAUAUUAAUUUAUGCACAUGUAAUAUAAUUUAUAAUGUGAUCUAUAUAUAAAAGACAAUCUUAAUGUAAUAUACAUAAAUAAAUAAAUAUUGUAUAUGUAUAAGAUAUACGUAACACUAUAAUAUUAACAAAGUUAGCUUGGUAGUUGGUGGCGUGUUGCUCUUACUCUAUGGCUGAGGUCAUGGGUUCUCACACCCAUCCUUCCACAAUGAUUUAAUUCUUUUUUAAAGGUAAGAGGUCGAAUCCCACAUCGGCCAGCCACAGCACUUAAAAACCUGCUCAUAGACCUUUGGCAGAUACCAAACUUCGAAUGCGCAUGACCGGCUAGGCCGACGUGGACGCAAAAUUUUUCAAAAAGCUUGAUUUAUCUCCGAGCCGAGAUAUUGCCGAGACAUCCACCAACUGCAUCAUGUUGGAUGUUACCGACAGACGAAAUAUUUCCCGCUACUUUCAUCUUGAUCAUACCCAAUUAAUUAAUGUGAAUAAACGUUGCUAGGGUGUUUUUUUGUUUGCAAAUAUUUGUUUGUAUGCUUAUGCAUAUAAUACUCUUCCAAUCUUCAAUAUAUAUAUAGAAUAUUCUUCUAUAUAAAUUUUUUGAGAAAAGUGUUUUGUUCCUUGCUUUUCCAACUAUUUAAUGCUUUUUAAAAACACCUUGAGUCACUUCAAGGCAACAACAAUCCAGGUAAUUAUUUUUAUUUUUUGUUUUUAUAAUAUGCGUAUGGCUUAGAGAUGGUAGACAUGAUAAUGAGAAAUCUUGAAUUAAAAUUAAACCAUGCUUUUUUUAGUAAUUGAUUAUUUACUUUGUCUUUCAUUUUGAUGUUUUACUUCUAAUAUAUCUAACAUUUUAGUUUGGUAUUCCCCUUGGACUUUGAUUAUGGAGCUAAUUCUUAUAAUUAUUGGUAGGUAAUUUCUUAUAACCAUUAAGAAAUUUAAAUCUUGUUAUAGAAAUUGAUAUGAAAGUAGGUUAUGUAUAAAAGGUCAAUAGACUUCAAUGUUCUUUCACAUUGAAAGAUAGUGAAAUUUAAAUGGAAAAAAUAACUAAUGUUACAAAAAAUUGUAUGAAGACAAUGUUAUUUACAAAAAGUCAAUAGACCUCAAUGUCAUUUCAUAUUGAAAGAUAGUGAAAUUUACAUAUAAAAAAAAAUGCAACCAAGCCUUGCAUGCAAAGUUUCAUUUUCAUUUUUUUUUCUUUCUAUUUUUAUGUUUUCCCCUUGGGCAUUAUCUAUCUAUCUAUAUAAAUAUAUAUACACCUCAUUUCUACAACUUUUUUUGCUUAACUUUCUUUUUCUUUUGUUAUUUGUAUUUAGUAACAAUGGGUUCAUUUGACAUUCAUUCCAAAGCCUCCUUUUUUGUCCUCAAAUUAUUCAAAUGAUGAUAUCAUAUAAGGAAUUUCUUAAAUAGAUGCUUGUAAAAAUUAUAUCAAUUUCUAGUACUUUUAUUCUAAAAAAAUAUCAUCUCAUUUUCUUUAAUAUUUAUCCUUUAAUCAUUGUUGCAAAAUGAUAAAAUUAAAGUAAGUGCAAUUAUGCUUUACUUGAUAAUAAUAAGAAUUUCAAAAUCUCUUCGCCUCAAGAUAUUGAAGUCUAAGUAAGAAAAUAGAUGGAUAAAAGUGUGACAUAAAACUUUUCUUCUUUUUCCUUUUCCCAUUUGAAAGGUAUUUGUAGUUGAAGUAAAAAAAAUAUCAAGUGACAUAACAAAAAUAUAGGAUUUGCAAAAAGAGUCAAAGGUCUUUGAUGACUAUCUUCUGCAUUUUGUUUUUUGCUUUUUGCUUUCCUCCUUUCAACAUUCAACAACCACUCUUCUCUUUUAGUAGUUGUCUUGAACUUCGAUGGUAAUUGCGCAAAGCCUUCUAAGAAAUUUGCUUGAAGGCAUACUACCAUCCAAAGUUCAAUAAAUCAAAGAAAAUUGCUUGAAAAUAUUUUAUAUCAUUUCUUGAAAUUUAGAUCUUAGUAAGAAAUUGGUUUAAAGGUAAGAUGCCAUCAAAGUUUAGAAAAUAAAAUGUCUUUCAUACUAUUUCUCAUGUUUAGGUAACAUGAAAAAAACAAUAGUUUUUUUUUUUUUUUUCAUUUUGCUUUUGUUUUUCCUCUUUUGGCAUUCAUUGGUGACUAGUUAUAUACACAUAGUAUAAUUUUUAAAAGGAUUUCUUUUAAUUUUUUUUUCCAAAAUAAUAUUUGAGGAACCUUGAUUAUACCCUUUUAUUAUAUUUUCUUGAGAAUAAAAAAAAAGAAUCUUUUACGCAUGUUAUUCAUGCUAUAUAUGAUAAUUUAAUUAAAUUUUAGUUACAACUUUGAGGGGCUUGAAGCCCACAAAAUCCAUUUAAUAAUGUUUUUUUUUUCAAAAUAUUUAUAUAGCUAGAGGUGCCAAAUAUAACAAGAAGAGAUCGAUGGAUAUGAAUACAGAAAUGAUUAAAAAAAGUAUACAAUAGUUUUCCUUUCUAUGUGUUUACUUUCUAAUUUGGUAGCUCUUUGUACUCUCAUAAAAACUUUUAUAAAUCUUUGUGUCAAAAUUGUAUGAAGAUAAUCCAUAUACAUGUGUGUAUUAUAUAUCACUCAAUGAUAGUUGGUUUCAAAUGGAAAAAGCAAAUAUUGCCUUCUAACUUUAUUAUUAUCGUAAUGUGAUAUUUCAUCUUCCAAUUUUAUUUUCAUCCUUGGCAUUUAAUACUAUGCUAUUUAUAAUACUUUCUCUUCUUUUUUAAAACAUUGUUGUUAUUUGAAUUUCCAAAUCCUCCUUAUUUGUUAUCAAAUUAUUCAAAAUAUGAUAUUUGAUUUAUGAAAUAGAUGCUUGUAAAAUUUAUGUCAAAUGAUAAUAUUUUUUAAGAAAAAAAAUAUUAUUUCCUUUUCUUUAAUAUUUAUCCUUUUGUCAUUACUACAAAGUGCAAUUAUCUUCAUCAUCUCUGAAAGUUUGAAUUCCAUAUGCAGUCAAUGUGGUAAAUAGAUGAUCAGUGAAAUUUCUGCGAGUAUCGCCGCCACCUCGAAAACUCAACACGUCAUAAUUACGAGAAUUAGAAGUAGUAGAAGAAGAGGCUCUAUGGAUGAUAGAAGAAGCCAUUUUUGGAUGACUUGAACCAAAAUUACAAGGGAGUUUGGAAUCCAAGAAAAUCAGAGAGAGGGUCCCACAUCGGUCAGCACAGAACUUAAAAACCUGCUCACAGACCCUUUGGCAGGUAGCAGUGUUUAACUGCGUGUGGUUGGCUGGGCCAUAGCUCACGUAAAAGUUUUCGAAAGGGCAAUUUAUCUCUUUGCAGAGAUAUCCACCUACUGCACCCUGGUUGCAAACUUUGCAACCCAUGGUUUAGUUUGAAAUAUCCGUACAUAUGUAUUUGGAUUUGACCGAUAUAUGGGUUAUUAAGGAAUAUAAAUUAUUUAAAAUUCAUAAAAAUAUUUAAAAACUAGAAUAUAUGGUAUUAAUAAUUUAUUAUUUAUGUUAUUAAAUUAAUUUUAAUUUAUAAAAUAUUAUAACUUCUUUAUUUUUUAUUUUAGUAAUUUUUAAAUAAAUUUAUACUUCUAAUAUUUAAAAUUUUAAAAUAUAAAUAUAAAAAAUUUAAAAGUAAAAUGAUAAUAAUUUUUAAAAAUAAAAUUAAUGAAAUAAAUGAUGAUACAUUUAAUAUUAAAAUUAUAAUUUAUUUAAUUUAAAUACAUUCAAUAAUGUAAAAUAAAUAUUGAUGCAUAUAUGAUUUUUUACAUAUUUAUAAUUUUUAUAUUUAAUUAUCACAUAAAUGAUAUAAAAAAAAGACUUAUUUUAAAAAUUAUAAUAAUGGUUUUUAUACUUUUCUUAAUUAAUUAAAAAAAUUAAAUAAAAUAAUUUGAGUUAAUUUAUUUAUUGUGAAUGCAUAUUAAUAAACAUUAAUUUGACCCAGUUGUAGCUGGACUAACAUCCAAGCCUUUUGCUUGGGUUCGAAUCCCUUUGGCAUCUUUUGGUGUGGAAUACUUUCAUCUAUGUAUGAUAUUCUUCUAUAUAAGAUUUUCUUGAAAAGUUUUUAAUUUCUUGUUUUCCUUACUUUUCCAACUAUUUAAUUCGUUUUAAAUACACCUUUGAGUCACUUCAAGGCAGCAAUAAUCCACCUCAUGAUUUUUACUUUUUGGCUUUAUAAUAUGUGUAUGGCCCAGAGACGGCAAGCAUGAUAAUGAGAAAUCUCAGAGUUGUUUUUUUUGGUAAUUGAUUAUUUACUUUGCCUUUCAUUUUCAUGUUUUACUUCUAAUAUAUCUGACAUUUUAGUUUGCUAUUCCCCUUGGACUUUGAUAUGUAGUUAAUUUUUAUAAUUAUUGGUAGGAAAUUUUCUAUGACCAUCAAGAAAUUUAAAUGUUACCCGGAUAUAGAAGUAGGCUAUUUCCAAAAGGUCAAUAGACCUCAAUGUCCUUUCACAUUGAAAGAUAACGAAAUUUACAUUAAAAAAAAGCCAUCAAGUCUUCCAUAUGAAGUUUUAUUUUCAACUUUUUUUUUUCCCUUGAGCAUUAUCUAUCUAUCUAUAUCAUAUAUACACCCAUUUCUACAACUUUUUCUUUUUGCCUAACUUUCAUUUUUUUACUUUUAUUUUAUUUUCAUUUAGUAAUAUGGGUCCAUUUGACAUUCAUUUCAAAACCUCCUUUUUUUUGUUCUCAAAUUAUUCAAAUGAUUUGCAUAUAAUUACUCAAAUUAUAUGACAUUUAUAAGGAAUUUUUUAAAUAGAUGCUUGUAAAAAUUAUAUCAAUUUAUAAUACUUUUAUUCUAAAAAAAAUAUCAACUCCUUUUAUUUAUCCUUUAAUCAUUAUUGCAAAUGAUAAAAUUGAAAUAAGUGCAUUUAUGCUUUAUUUCAUACUAAUAAGAAUUUCAAAAUAUCUUCACCUCAAGAUAUUAAAGUGUAGGUAAGAAAAUAGAUGGAUAAAAAGUGUGACAUAUAACUUUUCUUCUUUUUCCUUUUCCCAUUUGGAAGGUGUUUUGUAGUUGAAGUAAAAAAAUAUCAAGUGGCAUAACAAAAAUGUGGGAUCCGCAAAAAGAGUCAAAUUAAAGAUGACUAUCUUUUGCGUUUUGUUUUUUGCUUUUCUCCUUUCAACAUUCAAUAACCACUCUUCUCUUUUAGUAGUUGUCUUGAACUUUGAUGACAAUUGCGUAAAGGAAAAUUGCAUGAAAAUAUUUCAUAUCAUUUCUAUUAUUUCUCAUGUUUAGGUAACAUGAAAAAAAGUAAUAUAUCUUUUUUUUCAUUUUUCUUUUGGAUUUCUUUAACCUUUUUUUUUCCCAAAAUAAUAUUUGAGGAACCUUGAUUACACCCUUUUAUUAUAUUUUCUUCAGAAAAAAAAAAAAAAUCUUUUAUACAUAUUGAUAUUAUCAUGGUUUUAAAAAUCGGACCGGAUCAGUUGGACCACCGACCAAUCAUGGUUCUAGUUCAAUCCGAUCAAUUGGGUUGAAAAAUGGUUGGACUAGAAUUAGGCCGAUUAAACCGAUAAUCUAAUCGACAAAUCAAAUGAAUCAGAUGAUUCUCUCUAAAUAGUCUGAUUCAACCUUCUUUUUUUUUCCAGUGUCGUUGUCCCCCGCCAAUAAGACACCCGCCCCCCUCCCCCCCCCCCCUCUCUCGCUGUCCCUGUUGGCAAAACCCUCACCCUCCUACAAAGCCACCUACGCUGGAAAAGCUCUUCUCCUUUUUGCCCGUCCAUUUCCUCCCUUCUUCCUAAUAUUUUUUUUAAUUAUUUUUUACGUCAUCUCAUUAUUAUUUAUUUUCUUUUAUAUUUAUUAUUUUUUUACUUCAUGAUGUUUAAAACUUAUGAUUUUAAUUUAAAUUAAUAAAAACAUUACAAUUUUAAAUAAAUUAAGAUUUUAAAAUAAGUUUUUUUAUUUAAAAAUGAAUAUUAAAAUUUUAAAUUUAAAUUAUGAUUUUAAUUUAAAUUUCUAAUAUGAAACUUAUUUUUUGAUUUUCAAAUAAAAUUUUAAUUUUUAAAUAAUAUAUAAAAAUUUUUAUUUUUAUAAUUAUUUUAAAUUUUAAUAAUUUAUUAAUUAUGUAUUUAUGACAUCAUUGGUUCGACCGCAGUCCGAUCAUUGAACGGUGAACUCAUAACUUUUUCGGUUCAGUGACCGAUCCAGUUCUAAAAACAUUGCAUAUUAUACAUGAUAAUUUAAUUAAAUUUUAGUUACAACUUUGAGCCGCUUGAAGCCCACAAAAUCCAUUUAAUAAUGUUUUUUUUUCAAAAUAUUUAUAUAGCUAGAGAUGCAAUAUAACAAUAAGACAUCAAUGUGAUAUUUCAUCUUCCAAAUCUCUUUUAUCCCUUGGCAUUUAAUACUAUGCUAUUUAUAAUACUCUCUUUUUCUUCAUUGUUGUUAUUUGAAUUUCCAAAUCCUCCUUAUUUGUUCUCAAAUUAUUCAAAAGAUGAUAUUGAAUUUAUGAAAUAGAUGCUUGUCAAAUUUCAGUCAAAUGAUAAUAAUUUUGAAGAAAAAAUACUAUCUCCUUUUCUUUAAUAUUUAUCCUUUUGUUGUUACUACAAAGUAAGUGCAAUUAUGCUUCAUUUGAUGAUUAAUGAAGAAAAAUUACCUUUUUUCUUUAUUAAAUAUUUAUCCUUUAAUUAGUUUUGCAAAGUUAAAUUAGAGUUUCAUGAAUGCCUUUUCUACUACAAUUAUGAAAUUCAAAAUUUAUUGACUUGGUACAUUGAAAUCUCUCAAAGAAAUUAAGAUUGCAAUUGAGAAAGCAAUCUUUUAACUAACUCCUUCAUGAAGAACUUAUCAUAAAUAACUAUAGUGGAAAAGAAAAGUAUCAUGAUUGAAAUUCAAAAUAAUAUUUGUAACUUAAAGAUUUCUUUGAGCAUUAAAGUUUAGUGCUAUAUUAUAAUAGCAACUAAAAAGAUAUUUUUUUGCUCAUUUGUCCCAUUUAUUCUUUUGAAAGUGUGAAAAGAAAAUUACUAGUUGUACAAUUAAAGGAAAGAAAAAACUUUAAUCUUGAUAAGUGAGAAGAAAGAACAAAAUUUCUAUAAGAUUUUCAUGAAAUUUAUGUGAAAAAAAGAUAAUGCAUAAAAAUAAAUCAAAUCUGAAAUUCUAUGCAUACUUUAAAUUUAUACAAUUGGAUUGAUUGACAAUGUUGUCCUUGUCCUUCAUCAAAGCACAACCUCCUUUGUACACUUAUUGUACGAAUUCACACACCCACCCAUGUAAAUAUUAUCCGUUCUAAGUCUAGAAAGGGUCUCAUGGUUUUAAAAUGUGUCCAUAAAACUAAAAAAAAAACUCAUACAUAUUGUUAGGAAUUUGAGGCUAAUACAACCUAUGGUAUUCACCCUAAGGAGGGGGGGGGGGGGGGGGGGGUGAAUAAAAUUUAAACAAGUGAAUGCAAGAGAUAAUUAUAUGCAAGUAUAUAAUAAUCAAUAUAUAGACAAUUGCAUAUAUAUUAAAGAGUAGGGAAGAGAGAAUGCAAGCACAAGAGUUUAUAGUGCUUCGGCGCAACCCGGCCUACAUCCUCUCUCCUCUAGCUUCAAUCCUGAGCUUGAGGUUCCACUAAUCCAAGGCUUCCAAACUAAGCCUUUAAGUAAUACAAUUGGAUUAUGGUUCCAAUUCACCCUCUUGGACUUUUGGCUCCAAGCACCCUUUACACUUCUCAAGAGAUAUCCCACUCUUGAACAACCCCUCAAGUGAUACCCCACACUUGAAAAACUUCCUCUCAAAGAUUUACAAAUGAAUGAUCUCUCAAAAAUCCUAGCACAAGAACUUUAAGCUCAAAUGAUACAAGAAAAACUAGGAUUGAAUGGUGCACUAAAGAUAUGCAAGUUUUNNNNNNNNNNNNNNNNNNNNNNNNNNNNNNNNNNNNNNNNNNNNNNNNNNNNNNNNNNNNNNNNNNNNNNNNNNNNNNNNNNNNNNNNNNNNNNNNNNNNCCCUUUUUUUUAUGAUUUCCCCCCCCCCCCCAUUUAAUUUUUUCCCUUUUUUUUUCUAAAAAGGUUUCCUUGUUUUUAAAUUGUUUCCUUAAAACUAAAAAAAAACCCCUUAUUUUUUUUUGGAAUUUUGGGGUUUAUCCANCUUUUGGUUUUCCCCUUAGGGGGGGGGGGGGGGGGGGGGGGGUGAAUAAAAUUUAAACAAGUGAAUGCAAGAGAUAAUUAUAUGCAAGUAUAUAAUAAUCAAUAUAUAGACAAUUGCAUAUAUAUUAAAGAGUAGGGAAGAGAGAAUGCAAGCACAAGAGUUUAUAGUGCUUCGGCGCAACCCGGCCUACAUCCUCUCUCCUCUAGCUUCAAUCCUGAGCUUGAGGUUCCACUAAUCCAAGGCUUCCAAACUAAGCCUUUAAGUAAUACAAUUGGAUUAUGGUUCCAAUUCACCCUCUUGGACUUUUGGCUCCAAGCACCCUUUACACUUCUCAAGAGAUAUCCCACUCUUGAACAACCCCUCAAGUGAUACCCCACACUUGAAAAACUUCCUCUCAAAGAUUUACAAAUGAAUGAUCUCUCAAAAAUCCUAGCACAAGAACUUUAAGCUCAAAUGAUACAAGAAAAACUAGGAUUGAAUGGUGCACUAAAGAUAUGCAAGUUUUGAAAUAAUGGUGCACUAAAAAAAUACUCUUCCGAGGCUCAAAUAUAAUUAAGAAAGAUUUGGGAAUGUUAAGCUCCUUAAACAAUGAAGUUUGGAGCCUUUUUAUAGAAGAGAAAAACCAAACUAGCCGUUUGGGGUUUGACCGGUCGAGCUAGGGGUCGACCGAUUGACUAGCCAUUAGCAUUUAAUGUUUGACAAGUGACCGUUGGGCCUUAACCGGACCUCAACCGGACCUCGACUGGACCUCAACCGGUUGAGGUUCAACCUUGACCGGCAAAAGAAGGCCAUUAAGAGAGAGAGAAACUUUUUGGCCUCCCUCAACCGAUCCUCGAUCGGACGAGCACAACCGGUCGACCGGUUGAACAGGUUGAACCAUUUUUUGGCUCAACACCCAACCUUUUUCGACUUAAAACCUUUUAACACAAGUUUGAAAAUCAUUUAACACAAGGUUUUAGUUGAAAACAUGAAAUCAUCAAAUUCUUAAGAUAUUUAAAAUAAUAUUACUCUUGGAUGAUUUUGGUGCAUAAAUAAAUAAUGAAAUGCAUGAAAGUCCUAAUGUACCAACAACCUUACAAAGAGAUCUUAUGAAGCUUUGAUCUUGAAAAACUCUUCUCUUUGAGGUGGUCUCUUCUUCAUGAUUUCUCCUUGGCUUGAUUUGUCUUUGUGAUUGCCACUUUGGAAAUUGUUUUGCCUAAUCAUACUUGAAAUAUGAUCAUUAGUUCUAAACCUUGUUUUUUUAUCAUCAAAAUCAAGAUUAACCAAACCUUGGUUUCACACAUAUAUAUAUAGGCCUAAUAAUUUUAUCUCAUAUCCGAUGUGUGAUAUCACAAACACUUUCAUCCAAACAUAACAUCCUUGUUGUAUCUCAUAGAAUUGUGGAACCAAACAGACAAACAUCAUCAACGAGACAAAAAAACCUCCACAUCGGGUCAUAGCUUAGUUCUAAUGCCAUUUAUAAUGACUUGCACCCAACCAUGUAAAUGCAUUUUAAAGUCGUGAUGACCCCUUUAAACCCAGAGUGGAUAAUAUCUAUAUGAUUGAAAGUGAGUUGUUACACUUGUAGUUUAAUUGAUUUAAUUCGUUUGACAUUUUUAAUUUUUACAUUUUUUUGUUGCUUUGGUAUUCCUCGUCACCACUUUGCUUUUGCAUUUAAGGAGCAUCAUUUUUCAAUAUUUUUUCUUUUUUAAUUAAUUUUGUUAUUAUUGUUUGGCUUUUCACUCGCAUGUUUAUAAGAAUAAUACGAAGAUACUCUUUUAUGUAUAAUUGAUUUUAUAAACUAUGACUAAACUCAAGUAGUUAUAUAUCAAAUAGUAAGACUCUAUUUCUUAUCAUCUAAAUCAAAAUUUGAAGUUAUCCAAUUAGAGACAUUUCUAUGAAAGAGGAAUAUCAACAACUUUUUUUUUAAAGAAAGGCAUAAAAAUUAGAAAAUUGGAUGGAUGAAAGUUUUUUUUUUUCCUUUAAAAGUACUCGUAGUUAAGGUAAAAAAAAAAUCAAGUGCUAUAGCAAAAACAUAGAAUUUGCAAAAAGAACUUAAAAUAUAUUCAUUAUGUAAAUUGUCUACAUAUCUUCAAAUAAUAAUAUUAUGGGUUUUUUUAUUAUACUUAUUAACAUAAAUUUUAAAUUGCACAAACACCAAAAGGAAUUGAAAGCAAGAAAAUUAAAUGUAGAAAACGUAUUAAAUUAAUUACUCAAUAACCUAUAUUAGAAUAAUUUGAAUAAGCAACCCAUUUCUACAAGAGAAAAUUUGAAGUUUUUAGGAAUAUCAAAAGUAUAUAAUAACAACAUAUUAAAGAUUCAUUCCAAAUUUCUCCCAUGACAUCAUUUCAAUUCAUGGGAAAUUCAUAAUCAAUUUAGAAUAAUUUUAUAUGAAAUUUUAAUAUUUUAAAUUAAAUAAUGUUUUUCUACAUCUUUGUAGCCAGCAAUGACAUGAAGUUAGUGGCACUUCCCCCCUCUCUAAAAUACUUCUUUCUUGUCUCUUUUUGAAAGGCUUGGAUGAUUUACUGUCGUGAUAAUGAAAAUUGAUAGAAACUUAUAAAAAUAUUAAGAAAAAAACUUCAAAAUAUGACAUGAUAAAAAUACUUUGAAAAAUAUAAUACAUAUAAUAUUUUUUGUGAUAGUAUAUAGAAUUUAAAAACAUAUUAUUAUUAAAAUUAUAAUAUAUUUAAUUUGAUUAUAUAAAAAAAUAUAAAAUAAGUGAUACUAUAUGUAUAAAUAUUUUUAUUUAAAAAUAUUGAUAAUUUUAUUUUAUUUUUAUUUAAUUAUUAUACAAAAGAUACUAAUAUAAUUAAAAUUGAUUUUUAAUUUACAAUAUAUUUAUCUAUAUAUUUGUAUUAUAUAUAGACGUGUAAUAUAACCAAAGUAGUAGCUUUGGUCUAAUUAACGGUCGCACCAUUCACCCGUAAGCAUUGGGUCAUGGGUUCGAUUCAACAACCAAUCUUGUUGCUUCUAGUGGUUUUCUUAAGCUUUGAUGACAAUAUGCCAAAGCCUUAUUAGAAAUUUGCUUGAAGAAAAGCUACCAUCCGAAGUUUAAUGAUCCAAAGGUCAAUGAGCCAGGAAAAUUUACGUGAAUUUCACAUCAUUUCUUAAAAUUUAAUCUUGCUAAGAAAUUGGUUUGAAGGCAUGCUACUACCAAAGUUUAAUAAACCAAGAAAAAUGGAAGACAUUUCACAUUAUUUCUCGAAAUUUGGAUCCUGGUAGAAAAUUUCUAUCAAGAUAGGCCAAAAACAAAAUUGAAUAAACCAAGGAAAUUAGCAUGAUGACAUUUCACACUAUUUAGUUACAUGAUUGUUGGGUAUUACCUAAAAUUCGAAAGACCAAAGAAAAUUUCCUCUCUAUAGUUGGCUUUAUGUAGAAAAAGCAAUCCUUGGCAUUGUAUGUGUGUUAGUUUUUAUGAUAAAUUAGUGUCACAAAAUGGUUGAUGCUUCAAAAGUAAUAACUUAGUUGACAAAUACAAUGCCAUAAUUUUAUAUUUUUGCUCAUUUGAUGUAUGUGGGAACAAAAACUAACAUGGAUCUUAAGGUAUUCCAAAACAAAAUACUUGAAAUUGAAAUAUUCUUUCCCACCUAAUUUGAUUGCUCAUUCUAGGUUGGAGAUUCUAUCUCUUUACACAGAAUUAUGCAUAGUGCAAGAGUGUGAGUUUAAAUUGGCAUCACUUUAAUCAAAAUCUAAGACUGGGUUGAAGUAUUUGACUUGCCUUGAUUAAUAAGGACAUCCAUGGCUUAACUGAUGGAGGUUGGUAUGUACUAACUUAUCCAACAAAAUGUUUAAUCUGCAAAAAAAUUAACAACAAUCAAGCUUGUUCUAGAAAUGCCGAAAAACGAGUCCCAAUAAAAAUGGGUUUUGAAAAACAAAAAUUCAGUAAAAGGAAUUUCAGCCCCUUGGAAUCAGCAAGGCAUAUAUAAUAGAAACUAAGAAAAGGAGGGUGGCUUAAUUACCAAAAAGUUGAGAUAAAUGUUUGGUCAACAUCAACAAUUCUCUUACUUGAAAUUAGUGUCUUGUACAGCAUAUCCAAUGAACAAAUUUGCAAAGAAGCUCCAGCCAUCUAUGCAUAUGGUCCAUUUCAUGGUCUUGGGCAUCAACACCAUUACCAUCAAUAUUCAGGGUGGUGCCAUCACAGCUUCUCUCCACAUCAGUAUUAGUAUCUUCUACUGCUGAACUGGUGUCACAGCUUCUACGUUGUACAAUUGUGAGAUUGUUCUGUUCAUAAUCGUGGGCAUAUAGAAAGUGGAAGCCACACCUCGCCACUUUCACUGGUUUAACACCAAAGUAGACAUUAAAUGAAGCGUUCAAGGUUCUCCAUUCAUUUGAGUGAUAUCCCUCGGGAAUAUUUGACUUAGGAUAAUAUAUCAAGCACCCUUGACUUGAUGCAUCUUCAUCAUAGCAGAAUUCACAAAAUUGAUGAGAGUGACAGGAAAAAUAUGCACUGUCAUCAUCGAAAUUCAAUUUACAGUUGAAAUCCCUAUGUGGUGUGGUCUCAAUCUCAAGUGGAACAUAAAGAGAGCACAGAACAAAGCCCAAGAAGUCAUCAUUUUCAUACCAACUCCAGGGAAGUUUCAUUGUUAUUUUGAACCCGCUUUUCUGAUGGCAUAUCCACUCCGGAAUCCCAUUUCUUUCAGCAAUAAAAGUUCUGACAGGUCUUCUAAAGUCACGCGCCUGCACAAAAAUUACCCUCUGAAUUUUGUGUCCCCGUGAAAAGAAAGGUUAACUGAUAUAUGAAAACCAUACCUGAAUUUUGGAUUUAAAACAUUUGAAUAAAGAAGACCAGAGUAGAUUUGAUGGACUGGAUAAAUUUUCCAGGGAUGUGCAGUGAUGGACAUCUAGAUUAAUUAAACCUGAUGGAAGCUCUGGAAUUUGUUCAAGAUUGUUGCAGUGACUAAGGUUAAGGGCUUUCAGCCUGGAAAGCUGAUUGAUGGUAGGAGGUAUGCUACUAAAAUGGCCCCCUUCCAGAUUUAGUUUCUUUAAUGAUGAUAAAUAGCAAAUAUGACUAGGGAUUUGGUGGAGCUUUGAACACUCUUGAAGUAGGAGAG